This 254-nucleotide ribosomal RNA is filed under the name uncultured bacterium. RNAcentral's name for it is "partial 16S ribosomal RNA". It matches the Rfam family "Bacterial small subunit ribosomal RNA", at positions 524 to 776 of the family's 1533-position model. The record is from RNAcentral.
UACGGUAGGGCGCAAGCGUUGUCCGGAAUUAUUGGGCGUAAAGAGCUCGUAGGCGGUCCGUCACGUCUGCCGUGAAAACCCGAGGCUUAACCUCGGGCCUGCGGUGGAUACGGGCGAACUAGAGUGUGGUAGGGGAGACUGGAAUUCCUGGUGUAGCGGUGAAAUGCGCAGAUAUCAGGAGGAACACCGAUGGCGAAGGCAGGUCUCUGGGCCACUACUGACGCUGAGAAGCGAAAGCAUGGGGAGCGAACAGG